Molecule: transfer RNA, 73 nt
Filed under: Cordylochernes scorpioides
Lineage: Eukaryota; Metazoa; Arthropoda; Arachnida; Pseudoscorpiones; Chernetidae
Description: tRNA-Thr
Rfam family: tRNA
About the family: Transfer RNA (tRNA) molecules are approximately 80 nucleotides in length.
Source: RNAcentral
UCCAGGGUAGCCUAGUGGACAUGGGACCUGCCCGGUAAGCAGAAGGUUGUGGGUUCGAUUCCCGCCCCUGGAC